This 198-nucleotide ribosomal RNA is filed under the name uncultured bacterium. RNAcentral's name for it is "partial 16S ribosomal RNA". It matches the Rfam family "Bacterial small subunit ribosomal RNA", at positions 328 to 539 of the family's 1533-position model. The record is from RNAcentral.
ACGCUCGACACCUACGGGAGGUAGCAGUGGGGAAUAUUGCACAAUGGGGGAAACCCUGAUGCAGCGACGCCGCGUGAGUGAAGAAGUAUUUCGGUAUGUAAAGCUCUAUCAGCAGGGAAGAAGAUGACGGUACCUGAGUAAGAAGCCCCGGCUAACUACGUGCCGGCAGCCGCGGUAAUCUGAGCGGGCUGGCAAGGC